This 253-nucleotide ribosomal RNA is filed under the name uncultured bacterium. RNAcentral's name for it is "partial 16S ribosomal RNA". It matches the Rfam family "Bacterial small subunit ribosomal RNA", at positions 524 to 776 of the family's 1533-position model. The record is from RNAcentral.
UACGGGGGUGGCAAGCGUUGUUCGGAAUUACUGGGCGUAAAGCGUGCGCAGGCGGUUCGUUGUGUCGGCGGGGAAAGCCCCGGGCUCAACCUGGGAAUGGCCGUUGAAACUGGCGAACUGGAGUGUGGCAGAGGGGGGUGGAAUUCCGCGUGUAGCAGUGAAAUGCGUAGAGAUGCGGAGGAACACCGAUGGCGAAGGCAGCCCCCUGGGCUGACACUGACGCUCAGGCACGAAAGCGUGGGGAGCAAACAGG